Molecule: long non-coding RNA, 255 nt
Filed under: Elaeis guineensis (African oil palm)
Lineage: Eukaryota; Viridiplantae; Streptophyta; Magnoliopsida; Arecales; Arecaceae
Description: long non-coding RNA (EGUI_LNC056901)
Source: RNAcentral
GCUGGAAGAAGUUUGGAAGAGAUUCGAAGAAUAGUCGAUCACUACAGAAAAUCGACUGAUAUUGAAGCCCAAAGAGCCUUUGGAGCAGCCCGAUAUGUGAAUGGAAAAGCUCAUUAUUGGAGAAGCCCGGAUAGUAAUAUGGAAGCUCGACUGGUUGAGGGAGUUCAGAAAGAUGCCACACAAGGUCGGGAGCCGAAAGAACCCUGGAAGGGUCGGCCCUUUGCGAACUUCGACUGGGGAUAUUUUAUACCCAAC